RNAcentral lists this ribosomal RNA (253 nucleotides) under uncultured bacterium. RNAcentral describes it as "partial 16S ribosomal RNA". It matches the Rfam family "Bacterial small subunit ribosomal RNA", at positions 524 to 776 of the family's 1533-position model. The record is from RNAcentral.
UACAGAGGGUGCAAGCGUUAAUCGGAAUUACUGGGCGUAAAGCGCGCGUAGGCCGUCGAGUAAGUCGGAUGUGACAUCCGCGGGCUUAACCUGGGAAUUGCAUUCGAUACUGCUUGACUAGAGUGUGGAAGAGGGCAGCGGAAUUUCCGGUGUAGCGGUGAAAUGCGUAGAUAUCGGAAGGAACACGAGUGGCGAGGGCGGCUUCCUGGUCCAACACUGACGCUGAGGGGCGAAAGCGUGGGGAGCGAACAGG